This 1108-nucleotide ribosomal RNA is filed under the name Salmonella enterica subsp. enterica serovar Infantis. RNAcentral describes it as "bacterial LSU rRNA". The record is from RNAcentral. Lineage: Bacteria; Pseudomonadati; Pseudomonadota; Gammaproteobacteria; Enterobacterales; Enterobacteriaceae.
CAAACUGCGAAUACCGGAGAAUGUUAUCACGGGAGACACACGGCGGGUGCUAACGUCCGUCGUGAAGAGGGAAACAACCCAGACCGCCAGCUAAGGUCCCAAAGUCAUGGUUAAGUGGGAAACGAUGUGGGAAGGCCCAGACAGCCAGGAUGUUGGCUUAGAAGCAGCCAUCAUUUAAAGAAAGCGUAAUAGCUCACUGGUCGAGUCGGCCUGCGCGGAAGAUGUAACGGGGCUAAACCAUGCACCGAAGCUGCGGCAGCGACACUCAGGUGUUGUUGGGUAGGGGAGCGUUCUGUAAGYCUGYGAAGGUGKSYYGUGAGGSWUGCUGGAGGUAUCAGAAGUGCGAAUGCUGACAUAAGUAACGAUAAAGCGGGUGAAAAGCCCGCUCGCCGGAAGACCAAGGGUUCCUGUCCAACGUUAAUCGGGGCAGGGUGAGUCGACCCCUAAGGCGAGGCCGAAAGGCGUAGUCGAUGGGAAACGGGUUAAUAUUCCCGUACUUGGUGUUACUGCGAAGGGGGGACGGAGAAGGCUAUGUUGGCCGGGCGACGGUUGUCCCGGUUUAAGCGUGUAGGUGUGUGUUCCAGGUAAAUCCGGUUCACUUUAACACUGAGGCGUGAUGACGAGGCACUACGGUGCUGAAGCAACAAAUGCCCUGCUUCCAGGAAAAGCCUCUAAGCAUCAGGUAACAUCAAAUCGUACCCCAAACCGACACAGGUGGUCAGGUAGAGAAUACCAAGGCGCUUGAGAGAACUCGGGUGAAGGAACUAGGCAAAAUGGUGCCGUAACUUCGGGAGAAGGCACGCUGACAUGUAGGUGAAGUGAUUUACUCAUGGAGCUGAAGUCAGUCGAAGAUACCAGCUGGCUGCAACUGUUUAUUAAAAACACAGCACUGUGCAAACACGAAAGUGGACGUAUACGGUGUGACGCCUGCCCGGUGCCGGAAGGUUAAUUGAUGGGGUCAGCGCAAGCGAAGCUCCUGAUCGAAGCCCCGGUAAACGGCGGCCGUAACUAUAACGGUCCUAAGGUAGCGAAAUUCCUUGUCGGGUAAGUUCCGACCUGCACGAAUGGCGUAAUGAUGGCCAGGCUGUCUCCACCCGAGACUCAGUGA